GUAGGUGGCAAGCGUUGUCCGGAAUUAUUGGGCGUAAAGCGCGCGCAGGCGGUCCUUUAAGUCUGAUGUGAAAGCCCACGGCUCAACCGUGGAGGGUCAUUGGAAACUGGGGGACUUGAGUACAGAAGAGGAAAGCGGAAUUCCAAGUGUAGCGGUGAAAUGCGUAGAGAUUUGGAGGAACACCAGUGGCGAAGGCGGCUUUCUGGUCUGUAACUGACGCUGAGGCGCGAAAGCGUGGGGAGCAAACAGGGAUUAGAUACCCUGGUAGUCCACGCCGUAAACGAUGAGUGCUAAGUGUUAGGGGGGUUUCCGCCCCCUUAGUGCUGCAGCUAACGCAUUAAGCACUCCGCCUGGGGAUACGGCCGCAAGACUG
RNAcentral lists this ribosomal RNA (373 nucleotides) under uncultured organism. RNAcentral describes it as "partial 16S ribosomal RNA". It matches the Rfam family "Bacterial small subunit ribosomal RNA", at positions 527 to 896 of the family's 1533-position model. The record is from RNAcentral.